Molecule: ribosomal RNA, 1689 nt
Filed under: Xingyurella xingyuarum
Lineage: Eukaryota; Metazoa; Cnidaria; Hydrozoa; Leptothecata; Sertulariidae
Description: SSU rRNA
Rfam family: Eukaryotic small subunit ribosomal RNA
Source: RNAcentral
AUCAGUUAUCGUUUACUUGAUCGUACAAACCUUACAUGGAUAUCUGUGGUAAUUCUAGAGCUAAUACAUGCGAACAGACUCCGACUCUCGCGGGAAGGAGUGUAUUUAUUAGAGUAAAAACCAAUGGGGAAGCUCGGUGCCGUUCGCGCGGUGCCGUCUCUCGAAAAACAGACGACUCAUGAUAACUUUUCGAAUCGCACGGCCCUGCGUCGGCGAUGUUUCUUUCAAAUUUCUGCCCUAUCAACUGUCGAUGGUACGGUAGUGGCCUACCAUGGUUGCAACGGGUGACGGAGAAUCAGGGUUCGAUUCCGGAGAGGGAGCCUGAGAAACGGCUACCACAUCUAAGGAAGGCAGCAGGCACGGAAAUUACCCAAUCCCGACUCGGGGAGGUAGUGACAAGAAAUAACGAUACGGGGUCUUUACAGGUCUCGCAAUCGGAAUGAGCACAACAGAAAUCCUUUAGCGAGGAUCCAAUGGAGGGCAAGUCUGGUGCCAGCAGCCGCGGUAAUUCCAGCUCCAUUAGCGUAUAUUAAAGUUGUUGCAGUUAAAAAGCUCGUAGUUGGAUUUCGGGGCGGAACGGCGGGUCGGCCGCGAGGCUCGUUUUUACUCGCCGCUCUGUCCUUCUUGUCGAAGCCUGCGUCGUGCUCUUCGCUGAGCGUGACGCACGGGACUCGACACGUUUACUUUGAAAAAAUUAGAGUGUUCAAGGCAGGCUAUACACGAAGCUUGAAUACAUGAGCAUGGAAUAAUGGAAUAGGACUGCGGUCCGUCAUUUCGUUGGUUUCUCGGACCCGCGGUAAUGAUUAAGAGGGACAGUUGGGGGCAUCCGUAUUUCGCAGUCAGAGGUGAAAUUCUUGGAUCCGCGAAAGACGAACUACUGCGAAAGCAUUUGCCAAGAGUGUUUUCAUUAAUCAAGAACGAAAGUUAGAGGAUCGAAGACGAUCAGAUACCGUCCUAGUUCUAACCGUAAACGAUGCCGACUAGGGAUCAGCGGGCGUUCAAAUGUACGACCCCGUUGGCACCUCACGGGAAACCAAAGCGUUUGGGUUCCGGGGGAAGUAUAGUCGCAAGGCCGAAACUUAAAGGAAUUGACGGAAGGGCACCACCAGGAGUGGAGCCUGCGGCUUAAUUUGACUCAACACGGGAAAACCUACCAGGUCCAGACAUGGCGAGGAUUGACAGGUUGAGAGCCCUUUCUCGAUCCCAUGGGUGGUGGUGCAUGGCCGUUCUUAGUUGGUGGAGUGAUUUGUCUGGUUAAUUCCGAUAACGAACGAGACCUUGGCCGGCUAAAUAGUCGCGGUAUUUUCGAAUGCUCAAAGUUCGGGCGACUUCUUAGAGGGACUGUCGGUGUUCAACCGAAGGAAGAAAGGCAAUAACAGGUCUGUGAUGCCCUUAGAUGUUCUGGGCCGCACGCGUGCUACACUGGCGAAUGCAGCGAGUAUCCGAGACCUCCGCCGAAAGGCGCGGGUAAUCUUUUGAAAGUUCGUCGUGACGGGGACCGAUCAUUGCAAUUAUUGAUCGCGAACGAGGAAUUCCUAGUAGAGGCGAGUCAUCAUCUCGCUUCGAUUACGUCCCUGCCCUUUGUACACACCGCCCGUCGCUACUACCGAUUGAACGGUUUAGUGAGAACUUUGGACUGGCCGCGGGUCCACCUUCGCGGGUGUGGCCCCGGUCGGGAAGUCGUUCGAA